UCGAGAAUCUUUCGCAAUGCCCGAAAGGGUGACGAAGCGACCCCGCGUGUGGGAAGAAGGCCUUCGGGUUGUAAACCACUGUCGGGAGUUAGGAAAUGCAGGUGCGUUAAUAGCGCACUUGCUUGACUAAGGCUCCAGAGGAAGCCACGGCUAACUCUGUGCCAGCAGCCGCGGUAAUACAGAGGCGGCAAGCGUUGUUCGGAAUUAUUGGGCGUAAAGAGCACGUAGGCGGCCUUGCAAGUCAGUUGUGAAAGCCUUCCGCUUAACGGAAGAACGGCAUCUGAUACUACAGGGCUUGAGUACGGGAGGGGAGAGUGGAACUUCUGGUGGAGCGGUGAAAUGCGUAGAUAUCAGAAGGAACGCCGGCGGCGAAAGCGACUCUCUGGUCCGAAACUGACGCUGAGUGUGCGAAAGCUAGGGGAGCAAACGGGAUUAGAUACCCCGGUAGUCCUAGCCGUAAACGAUGGGCACUAAGUAGAGGGGUUUUGAUUAUUUCUCUGCCGGAGCUAACGCAUUAAGUGCCCCGCCUGGGGAGUACGGCCGCAAGGCUAAAACUCAAAAGAAUUGACGGGGGCUCGCACAAGCGGUGGAGCAUGUGGCUUAAUUCGAUGCAACGCGAAGAACCUUACCGGGGCUUGACAUGGUAGAAGUAGAAUCCUGAAAGGGUGACGAUCGGUAUCCAGUCCGAAGCUAUCACAGGUGUUGCAUGGCUGUCGUCAGCUCGUGUCGUGAGACGUUGGGUUAAGUCCCCUAACGAGCGAAACCCUUGUCUUUAGUUGCUAACGGGUAAUGCUGAGCACUUUAGAGAGACUGCCGUCGUUAAGACGGAGGAAGGUGGGGACGACGUCAAGUCAUCAUGGCCCUUAUGUCCCGGGCUGCACACGUGCUACAAUGGUCGGUACAAAGGGAUGCUAAGUCGCGAGAUGGUGCGAAACCUAUAAAGCCGAUCUCAGUUCAGAUUGGAGGCUGAAACUCGCCUCCAUGAAGUUGGAAUCGCUAGUAAUCGCGGAUCAGCUACGCCGCGGUGAAUAUGUUCCCGAGCCUU
This 1045-nucleotide ribosomal RNA is filed under the name uncultured Planctomycetota bacterium. RNAcentral's name for it is "bacterial SSU rRNA". It matches the Rfam family "Bacterial small subunit ribosomal RNA", at positions 355 to 1382 of the family's 1533-position model. The record is from RNAcentral. Lineage: Bacteria; Pseudomonadati; Planctomycetota.